RNAcentral lists this ribosomal RNA (907 nucleotides) under Priestia sp. RNAcentral describes it as "bacterial SSU rRNA". It matches the Rfam family "Bacterial small subunit ribosomal RNA", at positions 56 to 941 of the family's 1533-position model. The record is from RNAcentral. Lineage: Bacteria; Bacillati; Bacillota; Bacilli; Caryophanales; Bacillaceae.
UGCAAGUCGAGCGAACUGAUUAUAACGCUUGCUUCUAUGACGUUAGCGGCGGACGGGUGAGUAACACGUGGGCAACCUGCCUGUAAGACUGCGGAUAACUUCGGGAAACCGAAGCUAAUACCGGAUAGGAUCUUCUCCUUCAUGGGAGAUGAUUGAAAGAUGGUUUCGGCUAUCACUUACAGAUGGGCCCGCGGUGCAUUAGCUAGUUGGUGAGGUAACGGCUCACCAAGGCAACGAUGCAUAGCCGACCUGAGAGGGUGAUCGGCCACACUGGGACUGAGACACGGCCCAGACUCCUACGGGAGGCAGCAGUAGGGAAUCUUCCGCAAUGGACGAAAGUCUGACGGAGCAACGCCGCGUGAGUGAUGAAGGCUUUCGGGUCGUAAAACUCUGUUGUUAGGGAAGAACAAGUACGAGAGUAACUGCUUGUACCUUGACGGUACCUAACCAGAAAGCCACGGCUAACUACGUGCCAGCAGCCGCGGUAAUACGUAGGUGGCAAGCGUUAUCCGGAAUUAUUGGGCGUAAAGCGCGCGCAGGCGGUUUCUUAAGUCUGAUGUGAAAGCCCACGGCUCAACCGUGGAGGGUCAUUGGAAACUGGGGAACUUGAGUGCAGAAGAGAAAAGCGGAAUUCCACGUGUAGCGGUGAAAUGCGUAGAGAUGUGGAGGAACACCAGUGGCGAAGGCGGCUUUUUGGUCUGUAACUGACGCUGAGGCGCGAAAGCGUGGGGAGCAAACAGGAUUACAUACCCUGGUAGUCCACGCCGUAGACGAUGAGUGCUAAGUGUUAGAGGGUUUCCGCCCUUUAGUGCUGCAGCUAACGCAUUAAGCACUCCGCCUGGGGAGUACGGUCGCAAGACUGACACUCACAGGAAUUGACGGGGGCCCGCACAAGCGGUGGAGCAUG